Molecule: small nucleolar RNA, 76 nt
Organism: Camellia sinensis
Lineage: Eukaryota; Viridiplantae; Streptophyta; Magnoliopsida; Ericales; Theaceae
Product: small nucleolar RNA Z105
Source: RefSeq, a predicted model, not a curated record
CGAGCAUGGUGAUGAUAGAUAACAACAUUAUUUCGAUUGUUUGAUGAAAGGAUAAAACACCUCCUACUCAUUCUGA